GAUUAACGCUAGCGGCAGGCAUAAUACAUGCAAGUUGAACGGCAGCACAGGUAGCAAUACUGGGUGGCGAGUGGCGCACGGGUGCGUAACACGUAUGCAAUCUACCCUAUACAGGCGAAUAACCUUUAGAAAUGAGGGCUAAUACGCCGUAGUAUUACAGAUGGGCAUCUAUUUGUAAUUAAAGAUUUAUCGGUAUAGGAUGGGCAUGCGUCCCAUUAGUUAGUUGGUAAGGUAACGGCUUACCAAGACGAUGAUGGGUAGGGGAUCUGAGAGGACUUACCCCCACACUGGUACUGAGACACGGACCAGACUCCUACGGGAGGCAGCAGUAAGGAAUAUUGGGCAAUGGCCGCGAGGCUGACCCAGCCAUGCCGCGUGCAGGAAGACGGCCUUAUGGGUUGUAAACUGCUUUUAUACGGGAAUAAUAGAGUGUACGCGUACAUUUAUGCAAGUAUCGUAUGAAUAAGCAUCGGCUAACUCCGUG
RNAcentral lists this ribosomal RNA (484 nucleotides) under uncultured bacterium. RNAcentral's name for it is "partial 16S ribosomal RNA". It matches the Rfam family "Bacterial small subunit ribosomal RNA", at positions 28 to 507 of the family's 1533-position model. The record is from RNAcentral.